AACAAGUUAGCGGCGGACGGGUGAGUAACACGUGGGUAACCUGCCUGUAAGAUGGGGAUAACUCCGGGAAACCGGAGCUAAUACCGAAUAACACUUUCGCUCGCAUGAGCGGAUGUUAAAAGACGGUUUCGGCUGUCACUUACAGAUGGACCCGCGGCGCAUUAGCUAGUUGGUGAGGUAACGGCUCACCAAGGCGACGAUGCGUAGCCGACCUGAGAGGGUGAUCGGCCACACUGGGACUGAGACACGGCCCAGACUCCUACGGGAGGCAGCAGUAGGGAAUCUUCCGCAAUGGACGAAAGUCUGACGGAGCAACGCCGCGUGAGUGAUGAAGGUUUUCGGAUCGUAAAACUCUGUUGUUAGGGAAGAACAAGUAUGAGAGUAACUGCUCGUACCUUGACGGUACCUAACCAGAAAGCCACGGCUAACUACGUGCCAGCAGCCGCGGUAAUACGUAGGUGGCAAGCGUUGUCCGGAAUUAUUGGGCGUAAAGCGCGCGCAGGCGGUUCCUUAAGUCUGAUGUGAAAGCCCACGGCUCAACCGUGGAGGGUCAUUGGAAACUGGGGAACUUGAGUGCAGAAGAGGAAAGCGGAAUUCCACGUGUAGCGGUGAAAUGCGUAGAGAUGUGGAGGAACACCAGUGGCGAAGGCGGCUUUCUGGUCUGUAACUGACGCUGAGGCGCGAAAGCGUGGGGAGCAAACAGGAUUAGA
This 710-nucleotide ribosomal RNA is filed under the name Priestia koreensis. RNAcentral describes it as "bacterial SSU rRNA". It matches the Rfam family "Bacterial small subunit ribosomal RNA", at positions 86 to 782 of the family's 1533-position model. The record is from RNAcentral. Lineage: Bacteria; Bacillati; Bacillota; Bacilli; Caryophanales; Bacillaceae.